ACAAAGAAUCAACAUCAGCAGCAGAUUAAAUAUAUAGUCAGAAUGCAGUUUCCAAGAAGGCAAGUGAAAGAAUUUAAGAUGAUUUUUAAGCCAGUGUUGAAAUGUUUCCAAACUCUGGGUGUGCAGGCUUCCAACUACUUUACAACAGGGAUGGACAAUUAAUUUUCCCAAGGAGCCACGUGAGAAACUGGGACUGUUG
Protobothrops mucrosquamatus (brown spotted pit viper) is the source of this 199-nucleotide long non-coding RNA. RefSeq lists it as uncharacterized. The transcript is spliced from 3 exons. The record is from RefSeq and is a predicted model, not a curated record. NCBI's taxonomy places the organism in Eukaryota, Metazoa, Chordata, Lepidosauria, Squamata, Viperidae.